RNAcentral lists this small nucleolar RNA (74 nucleotides) under Saimiri boliviensis boliviensis (Bolivian squirrel monkey). The record is from RNAcentral. Lineage: Eukaryota; Metazoa; Chordata; Mammalia; Primates; Cebidae.
CUGCAAUGAUAAUAUAACAUCUAGUCAGAGACUAUCUCUAAAGCAAGAGUAUGUGCUUUCUAACCCUGAGCAAU